Molecule: ribosomal RNA, 440 nt
Filed under: uncultured bacterium
Lineage: Bacteria
Description: partial 16S ribosomal RNA
Rfam family: Bacterial small subunit ribosomal RNA
Source: RNAcentral
CCUACGGGAGGCAGCAGUAGGGAAUAUUGCUCAAUGGGGGAAACCCUGAAGCAGCAACGCCGCGUGGAGGAUGAAGGUUUUCGGAUUGUAAACUCCUUUUGUUAGAGAAGAUAAUGACGGUAUCUAACGAAUAAGCACCGGCUAACUCCGUGCCAGCAGCCGCGGUAAUACGGAGGGUGCAAGCGUUACUCGGAAUCACUGGGCGUAAAGAGCGCGUAGGCGGGAUAGCAAGUCAGAUGUGAAAUCCUAUGGCUUAACCAUAGAACUGCAUUUGAAACUGUUAUUCUAGAGUAUGGGAGAGGUAGGUGGAAUGCUUGGUGUAGGGGUAAAAUCCGUAGAGAUCAAGAGGAAUACUCAUUGCGAAGGCGACCUGCUAGAACAUAACUGACGCUGAUGCGCGAAGGCGUGGGGAGCGAACAGGAUUAGAUACCCGAGUAGUC